Molecule: long non-coding RNA, 539 nt
Organism: Clupea harengus (Atlantic herring)
Lineage: Eukaryota; Metazoa; Chordata; Actinopteri; Clupeiformes; Clupeidae
Source: Ensembl
AGCUAACGUAUCUAUCUAGCUAACAAGAGAUGCUCCUCAAUAGAGUAAUCUAUCGAAUAGGAUGACCUUGUGUGAUUGACGUAUCAAUAUCGAAAUUGUGGUAAAUAUGGAAGCAAUGAGCAGAAAACGAACACGUGAAGUCACUCGACUCGAGCAGCGGGAGCGAGCAACAGCACACCGUUGACCUCCUCACCAAACCUAGAGUGUGUUAAGAAGGUAACCGUUCCCAGCUGUGCACCCUCCCUUUGUGCAGACCAUGCACGAUACGAGGGCACUGGGUGAGGAACACCAAAGGAGUUAUAUUGAGAUGUGGCCGCCCUGGAAGCUUUCAAGAAUGGGAAGUCCAUGAAAGCGGCAUUUGAUGCUGUUGGGGUGGAUCGCAACACGGUGGCUGUUGUGGCUGUGCAUUAACAUUUCAUGCCUCACAUAAUUAAUAACUUGUCUACAGCACGUUUGUUGUUUGCUGUUUGCUGUUUUUUUUUCUCACACCCUAUCAAUGCUCUGCGCAAUGUUCAGCAAGUGCUGAAUUACAAAUAAAA